GUUUAGGUAGCUUAAUAAAAGCGUAACACUGAAGAUGUUAAUAUGAGGUCUCUCCCAAAACA
RNAcentral lists this transfer RNA (62 nucleotides) under Drawida ghilarovi. Its description in RNAcentral is "tRNA-Phe". It matches the Rfam family "tRNA". From Rfam's summary of the family: Transfer RNA (tRNA) molecules are approximately 80 nucleotides in length. Their secondary structure includes four short double-helical elements and three loops (D, anti-codon, and T loops). The record is from RNAcentral. Lineage: Eukaryota; Metazoa; Annelida; Clitellata; Moniligastrida; Moniligastridae.